GGGUGGAGUGAUGCCCAAGUAAUAAUGAGGUCUUUGUAAACAGAUAUUUCUUCCUGUUUAAUUCGCUAUAUAAAGUGUCACAUUAAUGAAGAGAUUAGUUACCCAGUCCUGCGUCUUUGAGACAACAUGGCUCUAGCAACAGCUCUUCUCCUCUCAGCAGCUGCCCUUAUUCUGGUCCCUGGUGUCUUCACAGAAGAAAAAGUCACGUUGUAUCCUAUUACCAUGACUGUGUACGAUGCUGUCACCAACAAGCCCAACGCCACCUACGCCACCAGCCUUCCCUACAGAGCUGUGCUGCUCGGAGCCAUGAGAAGAGCUCAGAAGAACUUCAGGUACUACAGGUUUAUUACUAAAGAGAAUUCUGACUAUGGACCCUUCUUGGAUAGUAUUAAUGGCAUGAAAGGGAUCACUGCUAAACGCACCUACUGGCAGCUUCUCAUUCAGCCCAAGAACGGCACUCUUAUUGUGGCUGAUGUGGGUGUUGGAUGCUAUAUUCCCAAUCCAGAGGACCACAUCAUCUUUAAAUUUACCAAAUGGUGAAGAGACUGACAAAAGGCUGCCUCCAUCUCCAGAUCACCUUCCUGUAUUUUCCUAUAUUGUUUUUCUUGUGCACUCUUUACAUUUAGCUGAAAUGGUGUUAAAAUUAUUAAGGUGGAGGUGAUAGCAGUGAUGAUUGAAGGGUACAUCUUUUUAUUUUUAACUAUUUUAAUAAAACUUGUUUAAGCA
Molecule: long non-coding RNA, 726 nt
Filed under: Astyanax mexicanus (Mexican tetra)
Lineage: Eukaryota; Metazoa; Chordata; Actinopteri; Characiformes; Acestrorhamphidae
Description: lncRNA (ENSAMXG00005022760.1)
Source: RNAcentral